UCUACUGAACUCACAGCACAGUGCACAGCAGCUGGUCCGCUUGUAAAUGCUGCCGUGAGAAGACAAACCAACUCUAGAAAACUAUGCAUCUUUGGAACAAAACUAGUCCCUGAUUCGGACCAAAGCACCAAAGGUCAGAAAGCACCCUUAGAGAUUAUUUCAACCAAACUGUUUGUGAUUGCUGGAACAGUGGACUAACUGACUGCAUGACUAACAAGACUAACUCAGACCUACCUGGCUUUGGAGAAAGCAUUAGCCCUGACCAGAGGAGGCUCACAAAUCUUCCCCCGUUAAAUUGAUGCUAUUACCUGCGCUCAGCUCAAAAGUGAAGAAGAGGAAUGAGCCGCACCGCUGGAAAAAUCAACAUGCUAAGACUGUUCCUGAACUAAACUUCAGCUGAGAGGAGAGACAGAGAGGCAGAUUGAAAUUCAACUCAUGCAGCAGACAGGAAGAGAGACCAAAAGAAAGACAGAACUCGAAUUACCGCCCUGUUGUUAGAAGAUGCGUAUUCUAAAACAUGGCUGGUGCAAACAUAUCUUCAACCUGGCAGCACAGAAGAUCUUUACAAUCAGCACAGUUUCAGAGUGGACACCCAAGAUUAGAGUCACCAAUUGACCUAUGGCUAAGUCCCGCCCUCAAACACGAUGAGCCAGUCAC
Long non-coding RNA from Epinephelus lanceolatus (giant grouper), 657 nucleotides. RefSeq lists it as uncharacterized. Lineage: Eukaryota; Metazoa; Chordata; Actinopteri; Perciformes; Serranidae. The record is from RefSeq and is a predicted model, not a curated record.